UAAACAGCACGUGAACAGGCAGCAGCAGAGCGCGUGGCAGUGCAUUGUUAUUGUUAUUAUUAUUAUUAUUAUUAUUAUUAUUAUUAUUAUUAUUAUUACACACUGCGGUGAGGGAAGAACAGUCAGUGGAUUUGGGAGAUGAAGAUUUAUGGAGUAUUUCUUCAGUUUUAACUCUCUGGACAUUUUCUUGGUUAAUUCGGCGACAUGAACUCCAGUGGAUUAUCAGACCAAGAGAUCACAGCUCUCUCUUCCGUGUAUGUCUCCUGUCUCAGUUUAAGCACCGCUUCCCCUGGACAGCGGUCCAGCUCUCCAUCUCCACAUCUCCAUCACCUCACACACAUCCUGUCACUGCAGUGUUACAGUGUUUAAUCGUAACCUCAACACCGCAGAGUGUUCUAUCAGUGUGCAGUAAGAUAUUAUUUUAUUUACAGUUUAAUUGGGAGCUGCUCUGUUUUCAUCACAUCAAUUAUGAAGAGAGAAAAGCUCAAAGAACAGGCGAAGCCUCUGAUCCAGCUGGCUCUAGCGGACCUCCUGGCCUCUCUCUGCCUCGGCAUCACAGCUGUGAUGAACCUGCUGUGGUCUGGAGCGGUGAGGAACAGUGAGGUGGUGUGCAGCGCAGGAUUAGCUCUGUCUCUGGUGAGGAAUCACAUCAUGUGAGAAUGAAAAACUGCAAUGAGGCUCAUAAAACAGUCAUAAACACACACACACACACACACACACACACACACACACACACACACCUCUCUAACAUGUUUAGUCAUGAUGAGGUUUCUGUUUAAUGCUGAAAUGUGAAUAUGAAGAGAAUAAUGC
Long non-coding RNA from Ictalurus punctatus (channel catfish), 810 nucleotides. Lineage: Eukaryota; Metazoa; Chordata; Actinopteri; Siluriformes; Ictaluridae. The record is from Ensembl.